Molecule: ribosomal RNA, 497 nt
Filed under: uncultured bacterium
Lineage: Bacteria
Description: partial 16S ribosomal RNA
Rfam family: Bacterial small subunit ribosomal RNA
Source: RNAcentral
GAUGAACGCUGGCGGCGUGCCUAAUACAUGCAAGUCGAGCGAACGGACGAGAAGCUUGCUUCUCUGAUGUUAGCGGCGGACGGGUGAGUAACACGUGGAUAACCUACCUAUAAGACUGGGAUAACUUCGGGAAACCGGAGCUAAUACCGGAUAAUAUUUUGAACCGCAUGGUUCAAAAGUGAAAGACGGUCUUGCUGUCACUUAUAGAUGGAUCCGCGCUGCAUUAGCUAGUUGGUAAGGUAACGGCUUACCAAGGCAACGAUGCAUAGCCGACCUGAGAGGGUGAUCGGCCACACUGGAACUGAGACACGGUCCAGACUCCUACGGGAGGCAGCAGUAGGGAAUCUUCCGCAAUGGGCGAAAGCCUGACGGAGCAACGCCGCGUGAGUGAUGAAGGUCCUCGGAUCGUAAAACUCUGUUAUUAGGGAAGAACAUAUGUGUAAGUAACCGUGCACAUCUUGACGGUACCUAAUCAGAAAGCCACGGCUAACUACGUG